RNAcentral lists this ribosomal RNA (854 nucleotides) under Helminthosporium velutinum. Its description in RNAcentral is "partial large subunit ribosomal RNA". It matches the Rfam family "Eukaryotic large subunit ribosomal RNA", at positions 66 to 938 of the family's 3401-position model. RNAcentral also lists the same sequence under 1 other name. The record is from RNAcentral. Lineage: Eukaryota; Fungi; Ascomycota; Dothideomycetes; Pleosporales; Massarinaceae.
CAACUGGGAUUGCCCUAGUAACGGCGAGUGAAGCGGCAAUAGCUCAAAUUUGAAAUCUGGCUUCCUUUGGGGGUCCGAGUUGUAAUUUGCAGAGGGUGCUUUGGCGUUGGUAGCGGUCUAAGUUCCUUGGAACAGGACAUCGCAGAGGGUGAGAAUCCCGUUUGUGGUCGCAUGCCUUCGCCGUGUAAAGCCCCUUCGACGAGUCGAGUUGUUUGGGAAUGCAGCUCUAAAUGGGAGGUAAAUUUCUUCUAAAGCUAAAUACUGGCCAGAGACCGAUAGCGCACAAGUAGAGUGAUCGAAAGAUGAAAAGCACUUUGGAAAGAGAGUCAAACAGCACGUGAAAUUGUUGAAAGGGAAGCGCUUGCAGCCAGACUUGCCCGUAGUUGCUCACCCAGGCUUUUGCCCGGGGCAUUCUUCUGCGGGCAGGCCAGCAUCAGUUUGGGCGGUCGGAUAAAGGCCUCUGUCACGUAUCUUCCUUCGGGAUGACCUUAUAGGGGAGGCGACAUGCGACCAGCCCGGACUGAGGUCCGCGCUUCUGCUAGGAUGCUGGCGUAAUGGCUGUAAGCGGCCCGUCUUGAAACACGGACCAAGGAGUCUAACAUCUAUGCGAGUGUUUGGGUGUCAAGCCCGAGCGCGUAAUGAAAGUGAACGGAGGUGGGAACCCUUGGGUGCACCAUCGACCGAUCCUGAUGUCUUCGGAUGGAUUUGAGUAAGAGCAUAGCUGUUGGGACCCGAAAGAUGGUGAACUAUGCUUGAAUAGGGUGAAGCCAGAGGAAACUCUGGUGGAGGCUCGCAGCGGUUCUGACGUGCAAAUCGAUCGUCAAAUUUGGGCAUAGGGGCGAAAGACUAAUCGA